AUACAGAGGGUGCGAGCGUUAAUCGGAAUUACGGGGCGUAAAGCGCGCGUAGGCGGCUACUUAAGUCAGAUGUGAAAUCCCCGGGCUCAACCUGGGAACUGCAUCUGAUACUGGGUAGCUAGAGUUUUGGAGAGGGAAGUAGAAUUUCAGGUGUAGCGGUGAAAUGCAUAGAGAUCUGAAGGAAUACCAGUGGCGAAGGCGACUUCCUGGCCAAAAACUGACGCUGAGGUGCGAAAGCGUGGGUAGCAAACGGGAUUAGAUACCCCGGUAGUCC
Molecule: ribosomal RNA, 274 nt
Filed under: uncultured bacterium
Lineage: Bacteria
Description: partial 16S ribosomal RNA
Rfam family: Bacterial small subunit ribosomal RNA
Source: RNAcentral